Molecule: ribosomal RNA, 450 nt
Filed under: uncultured Gammaproteobacteria bacterium
Lineage: Bacteria; Pseudomonadati; Pseudomonadota; Gammaproteobacteria
Description: bacterial SSU rRNA
Rfam family: Bacterial small subunit ribosomal RNA
Source: RNAcentral
GUAGCCGCACGAGCGCACCCUUAUCCUUAGUUGCCAGCACGUUAAUGGUGGGAACUCUAANCGAGACUGCCGGUGACAAACCGGAGGAAGGUGGGGACGACGUCAAGUCAUCAUGGCCCUUACGAGAUGGGCUACACACGUGCUACAAUGGCAAGUACAAAGGGUUGCAAACUCGCGAGAGUAAGCGGAUCCCAUAAAGCUUGUCGUAGUCCGGAUUGGAGUCUGCAACUCGACUCCAUGAAGUCGGAAUCGCUAGUAAUCGUGGAUCAGAAUGCCACGGUGAAUACGUUCCCGGGCCUUGUACACACCGCCCGUCACACCAUGGGAGUGGGCUGCAAAAGAAGUGGAUAGCUUAACCUUCGGGAGGGCGUUCACCACUUUGUGGUUCAUGACUGGGGUGAAGUCGUAACAAGGUAGCCGUAGGGGAACCUGCGGCUGGAUCACCUCCUU